AUUCAGUUGACGAGUCACAAAUAGGACGAAACACGCAUCCUGGAU
RNAcentral lists this non-coding RNA (45 nucleotides) under Schistosoma curassoni. The record is from RNAcentral. Lineage: Eukaryota; Metazoa; Platyhelminthes; Trematoda; Strigeidida; Schistosomatidae.